ACUCGAAACCAGGUGAGCUAAGCAUGACCAGGCUGAAACCCCCGUGACAGGGGGUGGAGGGCCGAACCGGUGCCUGCUGAAACAGUCUCGGAUGAGUUGUGUUUAGGAGUGAAAAGCUAACCGAACCUGGAGAUAGCUAGUUCUCCCCGAAAUGUAUUGAGGUACAGCCUCGGGUGAUGACCAUGCCGUGUAGAGCACUGACAAGGCUCGGGGGCCUACCAGCCUACCAACCCUUAUCAAACUCCGAAGCGACAUGCGUUUAACCCGGGAGUGAGGCUGCGAGAGCUAACUUCCGUAGCCGAGAGGGAAACAACCCAGACCGCCAGCUAAGGUCCCCAAAAUUGGCUAAGUGGGAAACGAAGUGGGAAGGCUAAAACAGUCAGGAUGUUGGCUUAGAAGCAGCCAUCAUUUAAAGAAAGCGUAAUAGCUCACUGAUCGAGUCGUCCUGCGCGGAAGAUGUAACGGGGCUAAGCCAGUCACCGAAGCUGCGGAUAUCCGCAAGGAUAUGGUAGGAGAGCGUUCUGUAAGCCUGCGAAGGUGUCUUGUAAAGGAUGCUGGAGGUAUCAGAAGUGCGAAUGCUGACAUGAGUAGCGAUAAUGCGGGUGAAAAGCCCGCACGCCGUAAGCCCAAGGUUUCCUGUUCAACGUUCAUCGGAGCAGGGUGAGUCGGCCCCUAAGGCGAGGCAGAGAUGCGUAGCUGAUGGGAAGCAGGUUAAUAUUCCUGCACCGUCGUAUGAUGCGAUGGGGGGACGGAUCGCGGAAGGUUGUCUAGCUGUUGGAAUAGCUAGUUUUUGACUCAUAGAAGGUGCUUAGGCAAAUCCGGGCACAGGAUUCAAGGGGUCGAGACGAGCGCUCAUGUAGCGCGAAGCAAUCGGAAGUGGUUCCAAGAAAAGCCUCUAAGCUUCAGUCAUACGAGACCGUACCGCAAACCGACACAGGUGGGCGAGAUGAGUAUUCUAAGGCGCUUGAGAGAACUCGGGAGAAGGAACUCGGCAAAUUGGUACCGUAACUUCGGGAAAAGGUACGCCCCGGUAGCUUGACCACUUUACUGUGGAAGGGCGAAAGGGUUGCAAUAAACUGGUGGCUGCGACUGUUUAAUAAAAACACAGCACUCUGCAAACACGAAAGUGGACGUAUAGGGUGUGACGCCUGCCCGGUGCUGGAAGAUUAAAUGAUGGGGUGCAAGCUCUUGAUUGAAGUCCCAGUAAACGGCGGCCGUAACUAUAACGGUCCUAAGGUAGCGAAAUUCCUUGUCGGGUAAGUUCCGACCUGCACGAAUGGCGUAACGAUGGCCACACUGUCUCCUCCCGAGACUCAGCGAAGUUGAAAUGUUUGUGAUGAUGCAAUCUACCCGCGGCUAGACGGAAAGACCCCAUGAACCUUUACUGUAGCUUUGCAUUGGACUUUGAACCAAUCUGUGUAGGAUAGGUGGGAGGCUUUGAAGCGGGGACGCCAGUUCUCGUGGAGCCAUCCUUGAAAUACCACCCUGGUUUGUUUGAGGUUCUAACCUUGGUCCGUUAUCCGGAUCGGGGACAGUGCAUGGUAGGCAGUUUGACUGGGGCGGUCUCCUCCUAAAGAGUAACGGAGGAGUACGAAGGUGCGCUCAGCGUGGUCGGAAAUCACGCGUAGAGUAUAAAGGCAAAAGCGCGCUUAACUGCGAGACCCACAAGUCGAGCAGGUACGAAAGUAGGUCUUAGUGAUCCGGUGGUUCUGUAUGGAAGGGCCAUCGCUCAACGGAUAAAAGGUACUCUGGGGAUAACAGGCUGAUUCCUCCCAAGAGUUCAUAUCGACGGGGGAGUUUGGCACCUCGAUGUCGGCUCAUCACAUCCUGGGGCUGUAGCCGGUCCCAAGGGUAUGGCUGUUCGCCAUUUAAAGUGGUACGUGAGCUGGGUUUAAAACGUCGUGAGACAGUUUGGUCCCUAUCUGCCGUGGGCGUUGGAAAUUUGAAGGGGGCUGCUCCUAGUACGAGAGGACCGGAGUGGACGAACCUCUGGUGUA
This 1997-nucleotide ribosomal RNA is filed under the name Bos taurus (domestic cattle). RNAcentral's name for it is "bacterial LSU rRNA". It matches the Rfam family "Bacterial large subunit ribosomal RNA", at positions 713 to 2716 of the family's 2925-position model. The record is from RNAcentral. Lineage: Eukaryota; Metazoa; Chordata; Mammalia; Artiodactyla; Bovidae.